CUACGGGCCGCAGCAGCUAAGAAUCUUCCGCAAUGGGCGCAAGCCUGACGGAGCGACGCCGCGUGGACGAUGAAUGUUGAGAGAUUGUAAAGUCCUUUUGUCAGAGAAGAAUAACAGAAAGAGGUAAUGCUUUUUGGAUGACGUUAUCUGACGAAUAAGCUCCGGCCAAUUACGUGCCAGCAGCCGCGGUAACACGUAAGGAGCGAGCGUUGUUCGGAAUUAUUGGGCGUAAAGGGCUCGUAGGCGGUUUGAUAAGUCUGGUGUGAAAGACUACAGCUUAACUGUGGGAACGCGCUGGAAACUGUCUGACUUGAAUCCGUGAGGGGUAUGUGGAAUUCCUGGUGUAGGGGUGAAAUCUGUUGAUAUCAGGAAGAACACCUGAGGCGAAGGCGACAUACUGGCACUGGAUUGACGCUGAUGAGCGAAAGCGUAGGGAGCGAACAGGAUUAGAUACCCGAGUAGUC
RNAcentral lists this ribosomal RNA (464 nucleotides) under uncultured bacterium. RNAcentral describes it as "partial 16S ribosomal RNA". It matches the Rfam family "Bacterial small subunit ribosomal RNA", at positions 339 to 795 of the family's 1533-position model. The record is from RNAcentral.